Molecule: non-coding RNA, 138 nt
Organism: Gossypium hirsutum (cotton)
Lineage: Eukaryota; Viridiplantae; Streptophyta; Magnoliopsida; Malvales; Malvaceae
Source: Rfam
AGUUAAAAUUUUCAUCAAUUUCUAUUGUUAAAGACUUGUGUGAUUAACAGAAUAAUCAGACACUUACAUAUUGCAUGCCACCUAUACUUCAAGUCAAAAAUUAAUUUUUAAUAGUAGAAAUAAAUGAAACUUUUAAUA